RNAcentral lists this ribosomal RNA (492 nucleotides) under uncultured bacterium. RNAcentral's name for it is "partial 16S ribosomal RNA". It matches the Rfam family "Bacterial small subunit ribosomal RNA", at positions 29 to 507 of the family's 1533-position model. The record is from RNAcentral.
AGUGAACGCUGGCGGUAGGCCUAACACAUGCAAGUCGAACGGCAGCACAGUAAGAGCUUGCUCUUACGGGUGGCGAGUGGCGGACGGGUGAGGAAUACAUCGGAAUCUACUUUUUCGUGGGGGAUAACGUAGGGAAACUUACGCUAAUACCGCAUACGACCUACGGGUGAAAGCAGUGGAUCUUCGGACCUUGCGCGAUUGAAUGAGCCGAUGUCGGAUUAGCUAGUUGGCGGGGUAAAGGCCCACCAAGGGGACGAUCCGUAGCUGGUCUGAGAGGAUGGUCGGCCACACUGGAACUGGAACAGGGUCCAGGCUCCUACGGGAGGCAGCAGUGGGGAAUAUUGGGCAAUGGGCGCAAGCCUGAUCCAGCCAUACCGCGUGGGUGAAGAAGGCCCUCGGGUUGUAAAGCCCUUUUGUUGGGAAAGAAAAGCAGCAGGUUAAUACCCCGCUGUUCUGACGGUACCCAAAGAAUAAGCACCGGCUAACUUCGUG